Molecule: ribosomal RNA, 427 nt
Filed under: uncultured bacterium
Lineage: Bacteria
Description: bacterial SSU rRNA
Rfam family: Bacterial small subunit ribosomal RNA
Source: RNAcentral
UGGGGAAUUUUGGACAAUGGGCGCAAGCCUGAUCCAGCAAUGCCGCGUGCAGGAUGAAGGCCUUCGGGUUGUAAACUGCUUUUGUACGGAACGAAACGGCUCUGGUUAAUACCUGGGGCUAAUGACGGUACCGUAAGAAUAAGCACCGGCUAACUACGUGCCAGCAGCCGCGGUAAUACGUAGGGUGCGAGCGUUAAUCGGAAUUACUGGGCGUAAAGCGUGCGCAGGCGGUGAUGUAAGACAGAUGUGAAAUCCCCGGGCUCAACCUGGGACCUGCAUUUGUGACUGCAUCGCUGGAGUGCGGCAGAGGGGGAUGGAAUUCCGCGUGUAGCAGUGAGAUGCGUAGAUAUGCGGAGGAACACCGAUGGCGAAGACAAUCCCCUGGACCUGUACUGACGCUCAUGCGCGAAAGCGUGGGGAGCAAACA